AUGAACGCUAGCUACAGGCUUAACACAUGCAAGUCGAGGGGCAGCAUGUCGGUUGCUUGCAACCGAUGAUGGCGACCGGCGCACGGGUGAGUAACGCGUAUCCAACCUACCCUUGUCCAUCGGAUAACCCGUCGAAAGGCGGCCUAACACGAUAUGCGGUUCUCAGCAGGCAUCUAACGAGAACGAAAUGUGAAGGAGAAGGAUGGGGAUGCGUCUGAUUAGCUUGUUGGUGAGGUAACGGCUCACCAAGGCGACGAUCAGUAGGGGUUCUGAGAGGAAGGUCCCCCACAUUGGAACUGAGACACGGUCCAAACUCCUACGGGAGGCAGCAGUGAGGAAUAUUGGUCAAUGGGCGAGAGCCUGAACCAGCCAAGUAGCGUGCAGGACGACGGCCCUAUGGGUUGUAAACUGCUUUUAUAUGGGGAUAAAGUGAGCUACGUGUAGUUUAUUGCAGGUACCAUAUGAAUAAGGACCGGCUAAUUCCGUG
RNAcentral lists this ribosomal RNA (487 nucleotides) under uncultured bacterium. RNAcentral describes it as "bacterial SSU rRNA". It matches the Rfam family "Bacterial small subunit ribosomal RNA", at positions 29 to 507 of the family's 1533-position model. The record is from RNAcentral.